RNAcentral lists this ribosomal RNA (460 nucleotides) under uncultured soil bacterium. RNAcentral's name for it is "bacterial SSU rRNA". It matches the Rfam family "Bacterial small subunit ribosomal RNA", at positions 26 to 486 of the family's 1533-position model. The record is from RNAcentral.
AGAUUGAACGCUAGCGGGAUGCUUUACACAUGCAAGUCGAACGGCAGCGCGGACUUCGGUCUGACGGCGAGUGGCGAACGGGUGAGUAAUGCAUCGGAACGUGCCCAGUCGUGGGGGGAUAACGCAGCGAAAGCUGUGCUAAUACCGCAUACGAUCUACGGAUGAAAGCGGGGGACCGAAAGGCCUCGCGCGAUUGGAGCGGCCGAUGUCAGAUUAGCUAGUUGGUGGGGUAAAGGCCCACCAAGGCGACGAUCUGUAGCUGGUCUGAGAGGACGACCAGCCACACUGGAACUGAGACACGGUCCAGACUCCUACGGGAGGCAGCAGUGGGAAUUUGGACAAUGGGCGCAAGCCUGAUCCAGCAAUGCCGCGUGCAGGAAGAAGGCCUUCGGUUGUAACUGCUUUGUACGGAACGAAACGGUCUGGUUAACACCGUCGGCUAAGUGACGGUACGUAAGAA